GACGAACGCUGGCGGCGUGCUUAACACAUGCAAGUCGUACGGUAAGGCCCUUUCGGGGGUGCACGAGUGGCGAACGGGUGAGUAACACGUGAGUAACCUGCCCACCACUUUGGGAUAACUCUAGUAAACUGGCGCUAAUACUGGCUAUGUGCUCCUUCCUCAUGGAGGGGGGUGGAAAGCUCCGGGGGGUGGUGAUGGACUGGCGGCCUAUCAGCUUGUUGGUUGGGUGGUGGCCUGCCAAGGCGGCGACGGGUAGGCGGCCCGGGAGGGUGACCGGCCAAAGUGGGACUGGGGUACGGGCCAGACUCCUACGGGAGGCAGCAGUGGGGAAUAUUGCACAAAGGGCGGGAGCCUGAUGCAGCAACGCCGCGGGCGGGAUGACGGCCUUCGGGUUGUAAACCGGCUUCAGCAUGGACGAAGCUUUUUGUGACGGUACCUGCAGAAGAAGCACCGGCUAACUACGUG
RNAcentral lists this ribosomal RNA (465 nucleotides) under uncultured bacterium. RNAcentral describes it as "partial 16S ribosomal RNA". It matches the Rfam family "Bacterial small subunit ribosomal RNA", at positions 28 to 507 of the family's 1533-position model. The record is from RNAcentral.